GACGAACGCUGGCGGCGUGCUUAACACAUGCAAGUCGAACGGUAAGUAUCUUUCGGGGUACACGAGUGGCGAACGGGUGAGUAACACGUGGGUGAUCUGCCCCAAACUUUGGGAUAAGCCUGGGAAACUGGGUCUAAUACCGGAUAUGACCAUGGGAUGCAUGUUCUGUGGUGGAAAGCUUUUGCGGUUUGGGAUGGGCCCGCGGCCUAUCAGCUUGUUGGUGGGGUAAUGGCCUACCAAGGCGACGACGGGUAGCCGGCCUGAGAGGGCGACCGGCCACACUGGGACUGAGACACGGCCCAGACUCCUACGGGAGGCAGCAGUGGGGAAUAUUGCACAAUGGGCGCAAGCCUGAUGCAGCGACGCCGCGUGAGGGAUGACGGCCUUCGGGUUGUAAACCUCUUUCAGUAGGGACGAAGCUUUCGGGUGACGGUACCUACAGAAGAAGCACCGGCCAACUACGUGCCAGCCGCCGCCGUAACAC
RNAcentral lists this ribosomal RNA (484 nucleotides) under uncultured bacterium. RNAcentral describes it as "bacterial SSU rRNA". It matches the Rfam family "Bacterial small subunit ribosomal RNA", at positions 28 to 526 of the family's 1533-position model. The record is from RNAcentral.